UCUUGGUCUUUAGAGGAAUAAAAGUCGUAACAAGGUCUCCGUUGGUGAACCAGCGGAGGGAUCAUUACCGAGUUUACAACUCCCAAACCCCUGUGAACAUACCACUUGUUGCCUCGGCGGAUCAGCCCGCUCCCGGUAAAACGGGACGGCCCGCCAGAGGACCCCUAAACUCUGUUUCUAUAAGUAACUUCUGAGUAAAACCAUAAAUAAAUCAAAACUUUCAACAACGGAUCUCUUGGUUCUGGCAUCGAUGAAGAACGCAGUAAAAUGCGAUAAGUAAUGUGAAUUGCAGAAUUCAGUGAAUCAUCGAAUCUUUGAACGCACAUUGCGCCCGCCAGUAUUCUGGCGGGCAUGCCUGUUCGAGCGUCAUUUCAACCCUCAAGCACAGCUUGGUGUUGGGACUCGCGUUAAUUCGCGUUCCCCAAAUUGAUUGGCGGUCACGUCGAGCUUCCAUAGCGUAGUAGUAAAACCCUCGUUACUGGUAAUCGUCGCGGCCACGCCGUUAAACCCCAACUUCUGAAUGUUGACCUCGGAUCAGGCAGGAAUACCCGGUGAACUUAAGCAUAUCAAUAAGCGGAUGA
RNAcentral lists this ribosomal RNA (581 nucleotides) under uncultured Fusarium. RNAcentral describes it as "eukaryotic LSU rRNA". The stretch from base 216 to 369 matches the Rfam family "5.8S ribosomal RNA". The record is from RNAcentral. Lineage: Eukaryota; Fungi; Ascomycota; Sordariomycetes; Hypocreales; Nectriaceae.